Setaria italica (foxtail millet) is the source of this 558-nucleotide long non-coding RNA. RefSeq lists it as uncharacterized. The transcript is spliced from 3 exons. The record is from RefSeq and is a predicted model, not a curated record. NCBI's taxonomy places the organism in Eukaryota, Viridiplantae, Streptophyta, Magnoliopsida, Poales, Poaceae.
GGAGACCAACAGAUAAGGCUGGCACCAGGGCGCGGACGUUAUUGCCUUAUUGCCGAUCUGCAUCUUCGGUUCUGCUCCUCCAGAAUCCAGAAGUGGACUAAUGGGAGAAGCUGCUGGUAAAAAGCUGCGCAGGUGGGAUCGUUUACCAAUUACCACCUGGGUAGCAUCAUCGAUGAGGCUAUCCCAGGAAGAUGCUAAAGAGGGUUCAUCCUCAAGCAGGCUGGUCAAAUGUCGGAGUUGGAAGCAAUGUUACAAAAGGGUGUCAAGUUUGAGAUUGAGGCACUAUCUGCAAGCUCCAUUUCUUGUUUAUCAGACAAAUACAUCCCCCAGAAGAUCAAACAAGUCAUAUAUAAUAUUGGACAUAAUCCAUAAUCGUAAUGUCCAGAAUGUGCCUUACUGAAUAGGAUCUUGUUUUGUUUGACUAUAGCUAUGCACUUGUGUUGCCUGAAUGUAGUUUAGUAUAGUAGUUACAUGACUGAUCAUGUAAAUAAACAUAUCUUUUAAGUUGUAUUUCGUGUGGUUGGAAGGUAACUCGCCGCAGGAAUUUGACUACAGGAA